CAAAGCACUUUGAAGAGAGAGUUAAAGAGGACGUGAAACCGGUGAGGUGGAAACGGACAGAGCCGGCGUAUCUGGCCCGCAUUCAGCCGUGGGCUGGUCGGCUGCAGCAAGAAUGUCACCAGACUGGGGCUUUUUGUUGUUUGCCGGCUGGCUUGCGGUGCAUUUGCGGGUGGAGUGCGCUGAGACGCUUGGUGCAGCGGCACGAGCCCGGUUUAGAGGCAACUUUGUUUGGAACCCGUGCCGCGGGGAGUGUUGUUUGUGCUGGGCGCUGGUGUGGCGGUGGUUUCGGGCUUGGGUGCGUGCUGAGCAGGCAGUUGGUGGCGGUCGCGUGCGACACGUGCUGGCGGUCAGUUCGGUUCUGCUCUCGCUCUCAGCCGUCCGUUCUCGGUGUAAGAGCCGGUCAUCUGUCCGACCCGUCUUGAAACACGGACCAAGGAGUUUAGCGUGUGCGCGAGUCAUUGGGCGUUGAAAACCCAAAGGCGCAAUGAAAGUGAAGGUCUCCCUCGUUGGAGCUGAUGUGUGAUCCUGGCCACUGCGGUGCGUCGGGCGCAACACGGUCCCGUCCUGGCCGCAUGCGGCGGGGCGGAGACAGAGCGUACGCGCUGAGACCCGAAAGAUGGUGAACUAUUCCUGAGCAGGACGAAGCCAGAGGAAACUCUGGUGGAAGUCCGAAGCG
Molecule: ribosomal RNA, 676 nt
Filed under: Scutellonema sp. B SAS-2012
Lineage: Eukaryota; Metazoa; Nematoda; Chromadorea; Rhabditida; Hoplolaimidae
Description: eukaryotic LSU rRNA
Rfam family: Eukaryotic large subunit ribosomal RNA
Source: RNAcentral